Molecule: long non-coding RNA, 797 nt
Filed under: Dermacentor andersoni
Lineage: Eukaryota; Metazoa; Arthropoda; Arachnida; Ixodida; Ixodidae
Description: uncharacterized LOC126524497
Source: RNAcentral
AGAUUUCAGGGAGUGCAUCGCCACCAUUCCAGGAGGCCAGCUGCUGCAAUGGCUUAUGCCAGUUUCCGGUUGCUUGGCUACAGUUGAAACGAAUAAAAAGAGAAACCAGACUGAUUCGCGAGCGUAGGGCUUUGAAAGAAGCAGUAAAAAAUACAUCUGGAAAAAAGAAAGACAAAAAGGAAAAGAAGAAAAAGGGAAAGAAGAAAAAGGGAAAGAAGAAAAAGGAAAAGAAGGAAAAGGAAAAGAAGAAAAAGGAAGAGAGCUAAAUACAAAACGCUGGUGAUGCCACUCCCUUUUGGAAAUCACUUGGUGGAGGGGACACUAACACAGGCAGCACCAGUAACGCAGUUCACUUGGUACAACCUUGGUUUGCGAGGGCGGUGGACAGCAGCAAGGGUACCAUGUGCCGAUUAGUAACGCGUACACGAUACUUGGAGGUUGUUCAAGGCUCAUUCAUUCUUAAACAGAACGACACGGCGGAAGGUUCUUUUCAAUGCUCAUUGAAAAGCUAUAAAUCAGAAUUGCUGUGAUUCUUUUAUUUGCGGGCUACAGACAUUGAGGCGGCAAGUUGAUAUUUUUAUGUCUAUAUACUUUGUGGGGUAAGUAUUUAUGGACGCCGAGUUAUCUUUAGCACUUCCCUCACUUGUCAGCCAUUGCGAAAAUUCCUAAAAAUUGUUCACAUUGUGAUUUGGAAAAAAAAAGAAGUUCUGCUACAUAUUUUGUACUUUUUAUGCUUCCAUUCACUUUUGCUUACGGGAAUUGAAGAAUGCGAUGUUCAAUAAAAAUUUCCUGAUUUC